CAGAGCUGUUGAUGCCUUUGUUGUAAAUGAACGGUGGUAGUCGUAGAAUGACGAACCACCGUAUUUGUUGCCCAGGUCCACCAGCUUAUGCAUACACAGGUCUAGUCCUCCUCUUUUCUAUGAGGGUACACUGAACAUAGCACAUCCCUGUAAAUCCCGAAGGCAAUUACAAAGUCAGGGAUAGAUUAACUUUCUGCUCAGUCUUGGGUCUCUAGCCUUUAGGACCACCUAGAUGUCGCCGUAUGACUAGGAGCAGUUCUCUACAACAACCUGGGAGGCAAAGAGAAGCGAGACAAGAUUAACGUCUUUGCCCUCCAGGAUGUCUUUCUUAAGGUUCGUGUAAAAAAAUGUAGAUGAGAUUGGGUGUUCAUGUUAAUGUUG
This is a non-coding RNA of Pelobates cultripes (western spadefoot toad), 381 nucleotides long. NCBI's taxonomy places the organism in Eukaryota, Metazoa, Chordata, Amphibia, Anura, Pelobatidae. The record is from the annotation of a GenBank genome assembly.